Molecule: ribosomal RNA, 1476 nt
Filed under: Salmonella enterica
Lineage: Bacteria; Pseudomonadati; Pseudomonadota; Gammaproteobacteria; Enterobacterales; Enterobacteriaceae
Description: partial 23S ribosomal RNA
Rfam family: Bacterial large subunit ribosomal RNA
Source: RNAcentral
ACCAAGGGUUCCUGUCCAACGUUAAUCGGGGCAGGGUGAGUCGACCCCUAAGGCGAGGCCGAAAGGCGUAGUCGAUGGGAAACGGGUUAAUAUUCCCGUACUUGGUGUUACUGCGAAGGGGGGACGGAGAAGGCUAUGUUGGCCGGGCGACGGUUGUCCCGGUUUAAGCGUGUAGGUGUGUGUUCCAGGUAAAUCCGGUUCACUUUAACACUGAGGCGUGACGACGAGGCACUACGGUGCUGAAGCAACAAAUGCCCUGCUUCCAGGAAAAGCCUCUAAGCAUCAGGUAACAUCAAAUCGUACCCCAAACCGACACAGGUGGUCAGGUAGAGAAUACCAAGGCGCUUGAGAGAACUCGGGUGAAGGAACUAGGCAAAAUGGUGCCGUAACUUCGGGAGAAGGCACGCUGACACGUAGGUGAAGUGAUUUACUCAUGGAGCUGAAGUCAGUCGAAGAUACCAGCUGGCUGCAACUGUUUAUUAAAAACACAGCACUGUGCAAACACGAAAGUGGACGUAUACGGUGUGACGCCUGCCCGGUGCCGGAAGGUUAAUUGAUGGGGUCAGCGCAAGCGAAGCUCCUGAUCGAAGCCCCGGUAAACGGCGGCCGUAACUAUAACGGUCCUAAGGUAGCGAAAUUCCUUGUCGGGUAAGUUCCGACCUGCACGAAUGGCGUAAUGAUGGCCAGGCUGUCUCCACCCGAGACUCAGUGAAAUUGAACUCGCUGUGAAGAUGCAGUGUACCCGCGGCAAGACGGAAAGACCCCGUGAACCUUUACUAUAGCUUGACACUGAACAUUGAGCCUUGAUGUGUAGGAUAGGUGGGAGGCUUUGAAGCGUGGACGCCAGUCUGCGUGGAGCCGACCUUGAAAUACCACCCUUUAAUGUUUGAUGUUCUAACGUGGACCCGUGAUCCGGGUUGCGGACAGUGUCUGGUGGGUAGUUUGACUGGGGCGGUCUCCUCCUAAAGAGUAACGGAGGAGCACGAAGGUUGGCUAAUCCUGGUCGGACAUCAGGAGGUUAGUGCAAUGGCAUAAGCCAGCUUGACUGCGAGCGUGACGGCGCGAGCAGGUGCGAAAGCAGGUCAUAGUGAUCCGGUGGUUCUGAAUGGAAGGGCCAUCGCUCAACGGAUAAAAGGUACUCCGGGGAUAACAGGCUGAUACCGCCCAAGAGUUCAUAUCGACGGCGGUGUUUGGCACCUCGAUGUCGGCUCAUCACAUCCUGGGGCUGAAGUAGGUCCCAAGGGUAUGGCUGUUCGCCAUUUAAAGUGGUACGCGAGCUGGGUUUAGAACGUCGUGAGACAGUUCGGUCCCUAUCUGCCGUGGGCGCUGGAGAACUGAGGGGGGCUGCUCCUAGUACGAGAGGACCGGAGUGGACGCAUCACUGGUGUUCGGGUUGUCAUGCCAAUGGCACUGCCCGGUAGCUAAAUGCGGAAGAGAUAAGUGCUGAAAGCAUCUAAGCACGAAACUUGCCCCGAG